RNAcentral lists this ribosomal RNA (381 nucleotides) under uncultured eukaryote. RNAcentral's name for it is "SSU rRNA". It matches the Rfam family "Eukaryotic small subunit ribosomal RNA", at positions 587 to 972 of the family's 1831-position model. The record is from RNAcentral.
AGCUCCAAUAGUGUAUAUUAAAGUUGUUGCGGUUAAAAAGCUCGUAGUUGGAUUUCUGCCAAGGCCGACCGGUCCGUCCUUUGGGUGAGUAUCUGGCUUGACUGGAGCAUCCUCUUGGAGAGCGUUGCUGCACUUGAUUGUGUGGCGCGAAACCCAAGACUUUUACUUUGAGGAAAUUAGAGUGUUUCAAGCAGGCUCAUGCCUUGAAUACAUUAGCAUGGAAUAAUAAGAUAAGGCCUUGGUUGUAUUUUGUUGGUUUCUAGAGCUGAGGUAAUGAUGAACAGGGAUACUUGGGGGCAUACGAAUUUAAUUGUCAGAGGUGAAAUUCUUGGAUUUGUUAAAGACGGACUACUGUGAAAGCAUUUGCCAAGAAUGUUUUCA